ACCACCUGCACAAAUUAAGGCCAGAGUGCAGGUUGGUCACUAUCAUCAGGUGGAAUGGAUGAGGAGCUCCAGAGUAGCCAGGAAGGGGAGGACUCAAAUGGCAGCAACACAGAGCCAAGGAAGUGGAAGUUUCAAAAAGAACACAGUCUCCAAAGUUAUGAAGAACUGAGGAGAAGAAGAAGGUGAAAUAACAUCCAGUAGGCCUGGAAAUGAAUGAUGACCUUGGCAAGGGCUGCCUCAGUGGCAUGAGGAAGCUGAAAGCCAGAGGACAGUGGCUUGUGUAGGGAGAGUAGACAGUCUCCACUCCUUCCAGAGCCUGGCUUGGAAGUAAAACAGAGUGAGAGGGUUGUGGUCGGUCAGAUGGGGGCGCUCAAGAGCCCAGGAGGAAAGUCAAGCUUCUUUAUAGGCAGAAAGUAAUAUGGUACCUGAAGACAGGAAUAGAAUGAUGUUUUGGAUGGCAGGGUGUUCUUAGGAAUCAGGAAGGUGGGCUCCCAAGCACAGGAGGAAUGGAUCUGGCCAGCAGGAAGGAUGGCUAAUGUUCUGAGACCCAGUAGGUAAGAAUGAGGAUAGACUACAAGGUCAGAGGACAGAAGCAUGAAGGCAUUUCCAAGAGUGCAUCUGUAAAUCUGAAGAGGGCUGAAGUGGGGAAGGCAAUCUGAAAAAAGCGAGGGAAAAAACAAAACAAAACAUUUCACUGAUAUGUGUGACCCUUUUCACCUAGCAGUGAAGGAAACUCAUGUUGACUGAACACCUCCCCUGGGAUGUGUGGGACCUGGGAUGAGAACUUUCACAUAGCUGCUGUGUUCAUGUCCAUCACCACCCUGUGAGGUGGAUCCCAGCAAGAUGACUUCUACCCUACAAAGAGGUUGAGAAUCCUGUUUCAAAUGCUGGAUGGAUCCCUGUGAAUCUGUCACUUUAAGAAGGGAGACUGCCCAGUGAAAGCAGUGGAAAGAAAAAGAGCGUUAAAAGGUGAGUGGAUUGGGAGAUCUCAUCAGAUUUUCCCGUUCUCUUCUGUCAUGCUACGACAACUUGCAUCAGUGAAAUUUCUUUUUUAGAAACUGCAAAGGAUAUUGAAAUAUUGAAAGGAUAUUGAAACUUGGGAGCCCUUAUUUAUGGGAUAAAGCUGUCAGGAAAUUAAACUAGAAUCAACAUUUGACAGGUGAAUGUUUAUUUUUAUCCUUGAGACCCUAAUCUCUCUUUCCCACCAAGCUUUGCUUAUAUAUCAGAUCUAUACACUAUUUUGAAGCAGAAAAAACAAGAAAGGAAUCUUGAAAGAAAGAAAGAAGAAAAGAAAAGAAAAAAAGACUUCUCAAGCUCAGAAUCAGCCCUUGCUAUUAACAUCUCCUUCAAGGAUCAUUAGAGGCUCCCAAGGGCCAAUGGGACUGGGUGGAAGAUUCUGAGGGAGAGGACACAAGAGUUCCUGGAUGUCCAUGGGUGUCCAUCUGUAAACCCGAGCAGUUUAAAGCUUCUAAAUCCCAAUUAGGCUGCUCGAACCAACUGAGAUGCCACAAAUGCAACCUAGUGGCUUUUCCCAUGGGAAGUCAGAGAAGUGGAAAAUAUUUCAAGCAAUUUGGGCAUGCUUGCAUAACCCUUUUGUGGAAAUUCCUGCACUAACAAUUUGCAAUUAAAGUGAAAGUGAGUAAAAAUAGAAUGACCUCUCAUUUCCACAAUGACUGUAUUUUGUAGACUCUGGGGUAUGAAUUUGCCUUAUAUCUGACCCACACAUAAUGACGAAGAAACUAAAAAUAAUCAGCCUUCUGUAUGCCUAGCAGUGCAGAGUGUCUAUCAGGCAGCAGGUUGUAGCAUUAAUGACAGUUUUUAGCUAAGACAGAAGACAUGGUUGCAUAAAACAUAAGCAAAUCAACAGCCAAGUGAAGACAGAAAAACAUACUCUCAGUCCAAAUCAUAAUUGUAAAUUCAUAUUAUCUGUAGCAAAUGUGGUCUCCCAGGCAGCCUGGUGCCUAAAAUGCCCAUGCUUUUGGGUCCCUCCCCAAUUUAGCAUUAACUGCUGAUGUCUGGGAUUAGUAAUUAAUUUUUUAUCAACCUAAUGAAAGCUUCAUUAGAAAAGUCACUCUGCAAGAAGGAAAAAAGUCAUAUAGUGUACUAUACAACAAAAUGUGUGUAUUUCUGCCUUUAAUGCUGUGAGUUAUCUAUGCCAUUUCCUCCUCUUAGCUUGGAUAAAUAAAAGUUCAAUGCUAACUGGAAAAAGUUUUGAGACUCACUCUGGUAAUGUCAUUAUGCCAUAAUUCUUUCAAAUAUUUCUGAGAUGCCAUCAGAUAAUUAUAGGUUUCCCUCAAGAUUUUUAUAAACUCUAUGAUUAUUGUAUAGAGUGUUUAUGUCAUUUGAUGACUAAAAAUAUCCACGAGAAGAAAUUUUCUGUGAUUGAAUCACCUACAUAUGCUAAACAAUUCAAGCAGAACUGGGUUAUUUGGCAGAGGAGAGAGCCUGUGAAUGAAAAUGAUCGGUUAAUGAACUGAAAUUGCAAGCUAAACAGAGGCCACAUACCACUCAGCCUGGGUCCAAGGGACUUUCAGCAAGGGGUGAGCAUGAAAGGACAAAUUGGAGCCCAAUUGUGAGGGGCAUGGAAUGCCUUACUGAUGAUUUUGGCAAAAAAACACUUCCCACAGACAUUCAGGCAAGGUGACAAUGUGAGUUCUCCAUUUUAAAAGGAUAUCUCUGGCCCCAGCAGACAGAAGGGAGACCAGUUUGACUGAGUUUGAACCAAGCAUUGUGAAAUGAUGGGAAACAAGUAAAAAUAGAGACAGAUGGAAUGGGAUUGGGGCAAUAGGUAAAGAGCAGGU
Molecule: long non-coding RNA, 2801 nt
Filed under: Homo sapiens (human)
Lineage: Eukaryota; Metazoa; Chordata; Mammalia; Primates; Hominidae
Description: HSALNT0373024
Source: RNAcentral